UCACUCUCCUGAACAAGGAUGGCAGCGAGUUCACUGUGAUCGGUCAACGUGUCAAGCGUUACCUAGCUGAUCAAGAGACACCAGAGGGGUCCUCCAUACCUCUCUAUGAGCCUCCCAAAGCCUAAAAGGCAUAAACAGUCAAGCUUAGUGACUUUAAACAAGCUCACUUGGGAGGAAGUCCCAAAGGUAUCCUUGUACAUACUGCCUAGAAUUUUUUGUGUUUUUGAUUUUUGUUUUUGGUUUUGUGUUGUUCAGGAUUUUAAAGAUAUGAGUGAGCAGGAGAUACAGAAUCGAACAUGCUUCAGUGAACAUCUCACUCGACACAACCAAACCACACAUAUCUUAUCCUCACUCCCACCACUCACUCGACC
RNAcentral lists this long non-coding RNA (371 nucleotides) under Capsella rubella. Its description in RNAcentral is "long non-coding RNA (CRUB_LNC000322)". Lineage: Eukaryota; Viridiplantae; Streptophyta; Magnoliopsida; Brassicales; Brassicaceae. The record is from RNAcentral.